GCUUGUCUCAAAGAUUAAGCCAUGCAUGUCUAAGUGUAAAUAAGUCUAUACUGUGAAACUGCGAAUGGCUCAUUAAAUCAGUUAUCGUUUAUUUGAUGAUCUCUUACUACUUGGAUAACCGUAGUAAUUCUAGAGCUAAUACAUGCACAAAAUCCCGACUUACGAAGGGAUGUAUUUAUUAGAUACAAACCAACAUCGUGGUGAUUCAUAAUAACUUUGCGAAUCGUAUGCCUCACGGCGACGAUGAAUCAUUCAAAUUUCUGCCCUAUCAACUGUCGACUGUGGCAUAGACGCCCACAGUGGUUUUGACGGGUAACGGGGAAUUAGGGUUCGAUUCCGGAGAGGGAGCCUGAGAAACGGCUACCACUUCUAAGGAAGGCAGCAGG
RNAcentral lists this ribosomal RNA (386 nucleotides) under uncultured Rhizophydiales. RNAcentral describes it as "partial small subunit ribosomal RNA". It matches the Rfam family "Eukaryotic small subunit ribosomal RNA", at positions 30 to 432 of the family's 1831-position model. Lineage: Eukaryota; Fungi; Chytridiomycota; Chytridiomycetes; Rhizophydiales. The record is from RNAcentral.